This 1066-nucleotide long non-coding RNA is filed under the name Physcomitrium patens. Its description in RNAcentral is "long non-coding RNA (PPAT_LNC007505)". Lineage: Eukaryota; Viridiplantae; Streptophyta; Bryopsida; Funariales; Funariaceae. The record is from RNAcentral.
CUCAAUAACAUCUGCUUUGAUUUUUUCCUCCAGCUUGUAAUCUUUUAUAUAAUCCAACAAAUUGGGACUACCCAAUUCUAGUUCCAAUGCACUGACUUUAUCAAUCCCGAUGUCGUAUAGUAUGAUUUGUUAUUUGGGAAUAUACUAGAUAUCUAGUUAUAGAGAGUUUAGCUUAAAUUUUAAUAUGUAUGUUUUUUUAACUUCCAAAAUUCUUUUAUUUUGCACAAAAUUCAAAAUAUAGCAAAAUCUCUUCAAAACAUAUUUUUUUCCACAAAAGGUUUUCUAUUCUAGAACUUUAGAAAUUUAUAAUUCUUGAUCUAACUAUUCAAUUUGUCUCAAACUUAUAAAGUAAGUAGAACUCAUCCUUAAGUUUUACUACAGAAAAAAAAAAAAAAAAAAAAAAAAAAAAAAAACCAAUUGCAAACUCACUCCCGAUCUUCUGGCAUCUAAGAAACCCUAACAGAUGCUCUAAACCCUAAUUUAUAAGCACUUGAGCACUAUUUUCUUAUUAUUUCAAGAAUCCAAUAUUCAAAAAUCAUCAAACUUAUGUACAAAGUUUACUUACAUGAAUAUACACAUUUCUUGAAAUUUUGAGCCAAAACCUUAUCAAAUUGCUUAAGAUAUAGCUCAAGACACAACCACUAGUAAAUCGGGUCACUUACUACCCUUAGAUUGUAUGCACUGACUUCAAAAUCCAAUAUCUCCUUCAUUUCAACUUAAAAUCCAGCAAGAAAUAUACAAAAAGUAUAGCCGUAAAAGUGCUCUCUCCAGUUGUAGUCGCCGAUCCUCAAUUGCACUCCGUACGCGUGCGUUAUGUCAAAAAGAGUGAUAAUAGCUCUCAAAUCAAUACCUUAACUUUGAGCGCCUAUAUCUCCUUCAUAUUAACUCCAAAUCAUACAAGAUUUGCUCCAAAACCAUAGCCAAAAACCUAAACUUUCUGAUCCUAGCCUACAAAGCUCGAAUGGCUCCAAAAAACUAACCUUAAUCUCUAAUAUGGCCUCGGGCAGCCUCCUCGAAUCCCAUUGGUUAUGAUUUUUGACCAAUAGGAAUGGAGAUUUUCAUCAUC